RNAcentral lists this ribosomal RNA (432 nucleotides) under uncultured bacterium. RNAcentral's name for it is "partial 16S ribosomal RNA". It matches the Rfam family "Bacterial small subunit ribosomal RNA", at positions 29 to 506 of the family's 1533-position model. The record is from RNAcentral.
AGCGAACGCUGGCGGCAGGCCUAACACAUGCAAGUCGAACGAACUCUUCGGAGUUAGUGGCGGACGGGUGAGUAACACGUGGGAACGUGCCUUUAGGUUCGGAAUAACUCAGGGAAACUUGUGCUAAUACCGAAUGUGCCCUUCGGGGGAAAGAUUUAUCGCCUUUAGAGCGGCCCGCGUCUGAUUAGCUAGUUGGUGAGGUAAAGGCUCACCAAGGCGACGAUCAGUAGCUGGUCUGAGAGGAUGAUCAGCCACAUUGGGACUGAGACACGGCCCAAACCCCUACGGGGGGCAGCAGUGGGGAAUCUUGGGAAGUGGGGGAAAGCCUACAGCACCCAGGCCGGGUGAAUGAUGAAGGUUUUAGGAUUGAAAAAUUCUUUCACCGGGGACGAUAAGGAGGGUACCGGGAGAAGAAGCCCGGGCAAACUUGGG